CACUCCAGACCCACCAUAAUGACUAGACUUCAAACUUCAAAAACACCUUACCAAUCCAAAAACACAUCACAGGAGAUCAGCAACAUUUGCUGGCAGCUCUUCAAUUACGACAUUGUAAAACUUUUGAAUAUCAAACAGCAUCCUUUCAUCAUCCCUGGUCACGAAAUUAAUGGCAACACCCUUUCUUCCAAAUCGUCCACUACGACCUAUACGAUGCAGGUAGUUUUCUGGCUGUGUAGGAAGAUCAUAAUUUAUGACCAGGGACACUUGCUGGACAUCAAUACCACGUGCCAAGAGAUCAGUAGUGAUAAGCACACGAGACGAACCAGACCGGAAUUCACGCAUGAUGAUGUCCCUAGUGUUUUGGUCCAUGUCACCGUGGGUGGCAGACACGGUAUGAUCACGACUACGCAUCUUAU
This 419-nucleotide long non-coding RNA is filed under the name Citrus sinensis (sweet orange). Its description in RNAcentral is "long non-coding RNA (CSIN_LNC001602)". The record is from RNAcentral. Lineage: Eukaryota; Viridiplantae; Streptophyta; Magnoliopsida; Sapindales; Rutaceae.